AACCUGGGACCUGCCUGUCUUCGGAGCCAGUCUGAAUUGUACACAGUGAUGCUCACCCAAUUAAUUUUCACUGGCUUGGGGAUAUAUUUUUUUUAAGAAGACAUUUUUCCAGGGGGAAAAACACGCAGGAGCUAUAAUUAGUUGGGAAGAGGAAAGAAGAGCGGAGUGUGUGAAUCACCAGCCCCAGUGACAGACUGUUGGAGCCGAGCAGAAGUUUCAAGAGAAGCCACUGGGUUGUGGGUGAGUUGGGGUGGUGUGUCGUGGGGAUGGCGCGCUGCCGCAGGCAGGCUGGGGUCCUGGAACACCAGGUCCAGGGAUGGGCACCUUCACCCCUCACCCUGAAGAGUCUUUUGCCCCGCCUCUCCCCAGACCCUGUCACCCGACACCCUAUCCCAGCGUUCAGCUUCCCUGCAGCUCCUGUCUGCCCUGACUGACCCCAGGACCUCUCCCCUCCCCAGUCCUUGCUGACACAAGCCUGAGCAGAGAGACUAGCACUCAAAUGAGGAGAGAGAAACUGUAGAGGAUUUGAGCUCCAGGGUUUGGAGACUGUCCAGUCCAACUCCUUAUUCAUUCAUUCAUUCAUUCAUUCAUUCAUGCAUGCAUGCAUUCAUUCACUUAGUCAUCAAAUACUGAACUACUGCUCUGUGCCUAGCCCACAGACAAGCAAACUGAGGCCCAGGGAAGUGCCAGGCCUUGCCCAAGGCCAUACAUCUGUGAGUGGUGCAGCCUCUCUGCCUGUCCGUCAUCACUAGCUCUGCUGAGCCAGGCCCUGGCCAGGGCUCUGACCACCAAGGUGACCACAACUGGAACCCACUCUCACAGAGCCCCUAUCCCAAUGGGGAAGCAACCAGGUACCUGUUAGACAAGGAGCCUGGAGGUAGUUCCUGACCAGCCUGGUGGACAUGGAGGACUUCCCAGGGGAGGAGGAAAAGCAGCAUGACAGCGGCCAUCAUGCUGGGAAGGACCUUAAAUGACUCAGUGUGCCUAAGCUCGGGGAGUGGCAGGAAUUGGGGUCAGGGUUGCUAGAGAGUGAGGCUUCUUGGACCAGGUCAUUACAAUGCCCAUUUUGCCCACAUUUCUCCUGAGCUCCUGCCUGAAUGGGCAUGACCUGCUGGCCAGGGGCACCCUGGGGCAAUGCUCACCAUGUGGACUUGGUCCUUGGAGACCCUCCACUAGUUCUUCCUGAUGCCGGGAGCACCAGUCAGUCAGUGGACCGGACAGUCAGUGACCAAGGAGUGUGGCCCUGGGUUUCUCCCUCCCUCCUUCUCCCCUGGCUGAGGACCGGCUGCCUGACUCUCUAGGGGCCCCAGCUCAGGCCUCAGGAGGGAGCACACUGGAGCAGUGUGGCCUGGAACUGAGAGCAGAGGCCCCAGGUCCCCAGGGAGGGGAUGCUUCCUCCCCUGGGAGAGCGUGGCAUCAUUCGGCACACAGAGAGCUCCCUUCUAACCCCAGACCAAAUUAGCCUUCCAAAUUAUAGGCUGCGUUUCCUCUAAAUUGGAGACUGGGUGGGAGAACAGAGGCCCGGCUCUCCUUCCUGCUUCCUGUUCACAGAGGGCCCUCAGUUGGUCUAGUCCCAGAUCACAGGACCACAUUCAGAAAGAAUUCAGGACACACACACCCUCCUGCCCCUCAGUUCAGGGAUCCCCAGGUCCCAGACCAGCAUCCAGGGCUCAGGGGAAGCCUGUACCCUUCUGGGGUUUGACAACGAACUUAGAGCCAGCAUGGUUCAGAUAAGGCCAACCCAGAGUUCUGAGGUCAUUUUCCGGGGGGAAGUCAUUCAUUCAAAAAACACUUUCUGGGUACAUUCUCUGUGCCAGGUACAGGACAGAAUGAGAAGGUGCACAGGUGGCUGUGGGAAUGCCUGGUGAGGUUAGGGAGGGCUUCCUGGAGGAAGAGGCAUAUAAACUGAGACCCCAAAAAAUGAAUGUGCUCUUGGUGAGGGGAAGAGAGGGGAAGACAAUUAUAGGAGGAAGGAGCAUUGAACGAAAAUCCCAGGAGCAGAGAGUGAGGGAGUGGGCAUCAAGAAGUGGGUGGAAACAUUGGUUUGUCCAGAUUAGGGGGUGGGGAGGAGUGUCAGUCAGCCACAUUGGGAGGAUUGCAUUUCAUCAGGGAGGAGGCCUUUGAGCAGGGGUGAGGGGGUGGGGGGUGCUGUGCAGAAGCAGGGCUGGACCCAUUGCCUGACCCAAACAGAGGGCUCCUUGGGAUCUCUCACACUGGCCUCCCUUAGGCCCCUUCCACAUGGCCUCAGGCCUUUGGAGAAAUAAUUAAAUUUACUUCAAGGAAAACAUGGGACACGGGUUUUAUUUCACGUGACCUGAAAUGAAGGUGGCUUCCUAUGUUUUUGCUAAUUGACUUGGGACUUUUUGUGGUUUUCUUUUAGAAGAAAAUUAUUCUAGAUGUUGAGAAUAAGUGC
RNAcentral lists this long non-coding RNA (2413 nucleotides) under Homo sapiens (human). Its description in RNAcentral is "HSALNT0311820". Lineage: Eukaryota; Metazoa; Chordata; Mammalia; Primates; Hominidae. The record is from RNAcentral.